This is a non-coding RNA of Streptococcus mutans TCI-162, 82 nucleotides long. The record is from Rfam. Lineage: Bacteria; Bacillati; Bacillota; Bacilli; Lactobacillales; Streptococcaceae.
AACAUCUGAGGACAGGAAGGUUUCUGACGCACCCUAAGUUUGAGGUAACUGAGAUGACGUAGUUACUGACCGUCAAGAUGUU